Non-coding RNA from Amborella trichopoda, 74 nucleotides. The record is from Rfam. Lineage: Eukaryota; Viridiplantae; Streptophyta; Magnoliopsida; Amborellales; Amborellaceae.
CGCGAGGUAGAGGCAUUUGGUAGCUCGCAAGGCUCAUAACCUUGAGGUCACAGGUUCAAAUCCUGUCUCCGCAA